Molecule: non-coding RNA, 1374 nt
Organism: Spodoptera litura
Lineage: Eukaryota; Metazoa; Arthropoda; Insecta; Lepidoptera; Noctuidae
Source: RefSeq, a predicted model, not a curated record
ACAAUUUCUAGUAGGUAUUCUUUUUUACCGUUUUUACUCUAUUUAUCGCCAAAAUUUGGACCAAAUUCUAGAAGAAAAUGAAGCUUGAAGUAUAUAAAAUUCCUGAAUCCACUACUUAAUCUAAUUCCACGUACAUAUUUAUAAAUUACUCAGAGGUCAUUCGCAGAAAAGAUCAUCUUUGUGGUAAACAAUGAAUAUAACAAGAUUACACAUGACAAAGCAACUUCUUAGAUACGCAGUGCUUGUAAAAAAUGUCCAAAGAAUGAUCCCAAAUAGUGAUUAUUACUCUACAAUGACCUUAGAUGCAUUUGUAAAUGAGAUAUUCGAGCGGCAUAAAAAGGUCAAAUUUCAGAGAAGUGAUCUAGUCGAAGCGAAUACACAGUACGUAUACAAGUGAUAAAACUAAAUUAUCUUCAAUGGACCUGCAGAACAAAGUUACUGAACUAUUUGGCAAAAACUGGGACAGAGAUGUAGUGAAACUUAUAAAUCAAUGUAAGGAAUGCAAGAAAUUACUGACUUAUUCUGCAGUUAAGAAGCUAGUUUGAGAAAAUUGCCAUAAAACAAGAAUUCUGUUUGAAAGUUGAUCCCGUCUCAUAAAGAAGAAACGGAGAGUUCUUAUAUUCCUAUUUCAUAUAUUUUCUGACCAGAUGCCAGCCAAUGAAUUUUUUGAAACAUCUGAUGUAUUAUUAGAGAAAAGGCAAUGGCUUUCAGUAUAAUGGCCCUAAAGGACUUCAAAGAAGACGGAGUGGUUAGAUUACUGCAGACUUUACUUAAAUAUGAAAUGAUGAAAGAGUAUGUCGAUGUGUUACAAGUGUUGUUCAAUUUUAAAUGACUUCGACAGUCGAGACAGAGCAGAAAAAUCCUUCAAGUUGGUUCUGGCAGGCGGUCGAUGCAAUAACCCAGCCCUGAGCGUCGCUUUUCUAGGGACACGAGAUGGCACACGUAAACCGACUAUUCCUAAAAGUGGCGGACAAUGAAUUCCGUAUCUCAAAACCUUAUACAGAAAUGUCAAGUCUAGUAAGCGUCUCCGAAUUGACAGACUUUCCAUCUUAAAAUGCCUCAAUUUGUCCCCGUAUGACCUUAUCUGCUUGUGUAAGCCGAAUGAGAAGGCGAGGUGUCUUAAAAAUCUCUUCUGAAUCCGUUCGAUUCGAAGUUGGUGAACAUUGUAUUCUGGUGACCAUACAACACUGCAAUAUUCAAGGUUACUACGAACAUAACUAUUAUAAAGAGCUAUUUUAGUAGUGGGCAUGCGAAAUGAUUUAGUGUUUCGAAUGAUAAAACCCAACAUUUUUGAUGAUUUAUUUAUAAUAUUGUCUAUAUGGGGAACGAAUGUUAAUUUAGAGUCAAGUAUUACGCCUAAAUCUCUCAUUUCGG